This 70-nucleotide transfer RNA is filed under the name Toxocara canis (dog roundworm). It matches the Rfam family "tRNA". From Rfam's summary of the family: Transfer RNA (tRNA) molecules are approximately 80 nucleotides in length. Their secondary structure includes four short double-helical elements and three loops (D, anti-codon, and T loops). The record is from Rfam by way of RNAcentral. Lineage: Eukaryota; Metazoa; Nematoda; Chromadorea; Rhabditida; Toxocaridae.
GAAAGCAGCUCAGUGGCAGGGCCUUCGCCUGAUAUGCGAAGAGACCCGGGUUCAAAUUCCGGCUGCUUCU